CAAAUCCUAUUUCUUUUUAGAAAAUAUUAAAAAAUCAUUUUUUAUUCUUUAAUUUAAAAAUAAUUUUUAAAAGCAAGUAGAAAAAAGCAUUGCUAAUUCGACGCCCUAAAUUUCUAAUAUGUAAACAAGCAUAUAGGAAGUGAGCAAUGGGGAUGCCAAGAACGAACUCUCAGUUAAUUUUGGUCAUGCUUAUCCGAUUUCAUCAAACUUAGUUUCCAACACUUAAAAAUCAAACAUAAUUGUGACUUAAGUUGUCAAUGAAUAAAAAGCAACUCAAAACGGAAGAGAUGGAGUAGUUAUAUAACAUACCCAUGCUGCACAUGCCAUCCAGACAGACCGCCGACUUCGGUCAGUGCCGCCCUCCAUCUAAGCACCCUCUCCUCAGUGACGUUUCCAUAUCUUGCAAAUGCUUCUCCAAAACUUCUCGUUUGUUUCCGCACAUCAGACAGAUCCACAUGGUAGAAAAUUGGUAGAACUUUUUGGCCAUUUUCUCUGCUGCACUGCAUGAUCUUAUCAAGCUCAUCCAAGCACCAUUUUGAAUGAGCAUAGUUUUUGGAAAAAACUGUAGGGAAUUAAACCAAAUUCCCAACCUAUGAGAAACAAAAAUAGAAAAACACAUGCCAAAGAAAAGACAAUCACACGCACAAAACAGUAUUUACGUGGUUCGGCAAUUUGCCUACGUCCAGGGAGUUGUAGGGAUAUCACUAUUAUCAGGGAAGAAUACAGAGUACGACUUAGCGGCUAUAAUAUUCUCUCUAUAUAUAUAGCACGGCAACCCCACCAUACUAAAAAACCCUAAUUACAAAAUGUGGUUCCACAAUGGGUUAAACGGGCCCAACAGGCCUCAAUAAAUCUCCCAUUAAAAAGUCAUGCAAUAUUAUUCGAGUCGGGUCGUUAAACCGGAUCAAACAAAACUAGGCUCCACACAGCCCAACAAAUCUCCCACUUGGAGACUAGUCCAAUCACCAACAUCAAACCGCUAUCCUCCAAGAAACAAUCCCUCAUCCCUACAACUCAUCCUCCUGUCCUCAAGCUAAAAGACCAAUUGAAGCUGCGCAUAACUUCAACUUCUCAAUAGUGAUCAGUUUCACAUCUCUUGAACCUAAUUCUAUGCAUAAAAUUGUCAAACUUCUUAUACCACUGUCUAGGAGCUUGUUUAAGGCCAUACAAGCUCUUUCUCAGUUUGCAGACUAGAUUCUCUUGUCCCUGAACAAUGAACCCUUCUGGCUGAAUUAUGUAAAGGUCUUCCUCCAAGUCACCAUGAAGGAAUGUUGUCUUCACAUCUAACUACUCAAGAUGUAAGUUUUCUGCAGCCACCAUUCCAAGUACAAGUCUAAUUGUUGACAUCUUCACAACUGGAGAAAAUAUCUCUGUGUAGUCAAUGCCCUCCUUCUGCUAGAACCCUUUAACAACUAAUCUAGCCUUGUAACGUUUGCUACUAUCAUGCUCAUUCUUUAUUCUGUAUACCCACUUGUUGUGCAAAGCCUUCUUUCCUACUGGCAAUUCAGUUAGUUCCCAUGUUUGAUUCCCCAACAGGGAAUCCAUCUCAUCCUUCAUGGCUAACUCCCACUUGCUUGAAUUCUCAUCUUGCAAGGCUUCAUCAUAACACUCUGGCUCACCACCAUCAGUCAACAGGAGAUAAUUUAAAACAGGUGAAUAACGCUACGGAGGUCUAAUGUUCCUGGAAGAUCUGCGAACUUUAGCUACAAGUGUACUCAAAUCUACCUGUGAAUUUACAUUCUCCUUAUCUUCUUCACCCCCUUUUUGGAUAGUACUUUCAGUCAAUUCAUCUAAGUUGACAAACUCAGAUUUCUUUUGAUCUAUCUCUGUAACAUCUGACACUAUAGUUGACCUGUCCUUAUACAUAACCUGUUUAUUAAAUAUCACAUUUCUACUUCUGAUGAUUUUCUUGUUUUGUUCAUCCCAAAACCUAUAGCCAAAUUUCUCAUCACCAUAGCCAAUGAAAAAACAUAUUUUUGACUUUGCAUCAAGUUUACUACGAGCAUCAGAAUCAAUAUGAACAUAAGAAACACAACCAAAAACUUUUAAAUGUGAAAACUUCACCUCUUUACCGCUCUAAACCUCCUUAGAAAGUCUGAACUCCAUGGGAACUAAUGGUCCUCGGUUUAUCAGGUAAGCUGCAGUGCUAACAACAUCAGCCCAAAAAGUUUUUGGUAGUUCAGCAUGCAACCUCAUACUUCUAGCACGCUCAUUGAGAGUUCUGUUCAUGCGCUCAGCCACACCAUUCUGCUAUGGUGUCCCAAGAAUGGUUUUCUCCAUCCUAAUUCUCUGUGCAACACAAUACUCACUAAACCCUCCAUCUAUGUACUCUCCUCCAUUAUCUGACCUCAAAUAUUUUACUUUCAAACCUGUUUCUGUCUCAACCAUGGCCUUCCAUUUCUUAAAAGUUUCAAAUACAUCAGACUUAUUUUUCAGAAAAUAAACUCAUACCUUUCUACUUGGAGUCAUCAAUAAAAGUGAUGUAGUACCUUGAAUCUCCUAGGGAUGCAACCGGAGAAGGCCCCCACAAAUCAGUGUGUACUAGUUCCAAUUUUUCAGCCUUCUGUGUCCUGCCAGUUUUCAAGAAGCUCACCUUUUUUUGCUUUCCUAAGAUGCAACUUUCACACAUGUCAAAAUCAAUGGACUUCAAUUCUGGUAGUUUUCCUUUUGACAACAACAUCUUCAUCUCUUUCUCACUCAUGUGACCAAGUCUGCGGUGCCAUAGGCUUGUAUCAGUACUUGCAUCAACAAUUGCAAUUGUGUCUCUUGGACAUGAGAUCAUAUACAGAGUACCGGUCUUCUUUCCACGAGCCAAUACCCUAGCUCCCUUUGUAACCUUCCAAGUACCACCAACAAAUAGUAUUGCAUGUCCUUCAUCAUCAAGUUGUCCAACAGAAAUCAGAUUCCUCCUCAGGUCAGGAAUAUGUCGAACCUUCUCCAAUAACCAAACAGACCCAUUGGGCAACGAUAUCCAGACGUCUCCCAGACCCACAACAUCCAAGGCUGAACCAUCAGCCAAAUACACCUUACCAAAAUCACCUGUAACAUAAUUCUGUAUGAUUUCUCGGUGUGGAGUGGUAUGAAACGAAGCUCCUGAAUCCAAAACUCAAUCAUCAAGUGGACUGUCUACUGCAAGAAGUAAUGCAUCAUGUACCUCUUCUGUUACAACAUUAGCAGAAUCAUCUUCAUUCUUCUUCUUAGGGCUUUUGCAUUGCCUUUUAAAGUGACAUGUUUUCCCACAAUUCCAGCAUUGUACUUGUUGGCCUGAUCUAGAUUUGCUUCUGUUUCGAUUAGAAUUUCUGGAAUUUGAUCUACCCCGAUUUGAAUUUCUGUCAUUACCUUUGCCUCUUGUCUCAAGGUUUCACCUGCAUCUCUUCGGUGAAUCUCCUCAACCAUAAUUAAAUCUUGUAUAUCAUUGUACUUGAGCUUUUCCUUUCCCGUCGAAUUGCUUACUACCAUCCUCAUUGCCUCCCAACUGUUUGGCAAAGAAGCCUAGACGAUUAGAGUACGAAUCUCAUCAUCAAAAUCAAUUUCUACAGAUGACAAUUGAUUUGUGAUUGUAUUAAAUUCAUUCAGAUGUUGUGCUACUGAUGCAUUCUCUGCCAUCUUCAAAUUGAACAAUUUCUUCAUCAGAUGCACCUUAUUGUUUGCGGGCGGCUUUUCAUACAUACCGGACAAAGCCUUCAUCAAAUCUGUUGUGGUCUUCUCCUUUACAACAUUAUGUGCAACAGACCUAGACAGAGUUAACCUAAUAACUCCUAGAACCUGUCUGUCAAGAAGCGCUCAUUCCUCAGCCUUCAUACUCUCAGGUUUUGUCCCCAAAAGAGGCAGAUGCAAUUUCCUCCCAUAGAGAUAAUCUUCAAUCUACAUCCUCCAAUACGCAAAGUCUGUGCCAUCAAACUUUUCUAUUCCAGACGUUUUUCCUACUUCCUCUGCCAUUGCUCCCACUCAAACCUAACCCUAGGCUCUAAUACCAAUUGUAGGGAAUUAAACCAAAUUCCCAACCUGUGAGAAACAAAAAUAGAGAAAACACACGCCAAAGAAAAGAUAAUCACACGCACAAAACAAUAUUUACGUGGUUCGGCAAUUUGCCUACGUCCACGGAGUUGCAGGGAUAUCACUAUUAUCAGGGAAGAAUACAGAGUACGACUUAGCGGCUACAAUAUUCUCUUUAUAUAUAUAGCACGGCAACCCCACCAUAUUAAAAAACCCUAAUUACAAAAGGUGGUUCCACAAUGGGCUAAACGGACCCAACAGGCCUCAAUAAAUCUCCUAUUAAAAAGCCAUGCAAUAUUAUUCAGGUCGGGUCAUCAAACCGGAUCAAAUAAAACUAGGCUCCACAAAGCCCAACAAAAACUACAAUAGACAUCUUUGAUUCUUCAAUAGCUUUCAAGAGUCAAGUUUGAAUCUCUCCUCUUCUUUGAAGUCCUUCUUCAUCUCUAAAGGUGUGGAUGUACCUACUCGUCAAAGCCGAAUAAAGAUGAUCCGUAAAAUUUGAAGCUGGUAUCUUCCCCUCUAAAGCUCAAAAAAACAUCCCAUCUCCGAUAUUGAAAAGAAGAGGUGCCUGAAGAAGCCAUUCUUGGGAGCUAUCUGGUUGUGAGUCCCAAAUUCCAAGACACUGAGAAAAUUUUGGGUCGUCAUGGAAAGAUUCUCUCUCUCGACCUUUUUAACAUAGGAACUUCCUCUAAUCUUGCAAGGAACUUUCAUAUUUUUUAUUUUAUCUUAUUCUUUUUAGUUUUUAAUUUUGUUAAUGCCUAUAUGCAUUGUGUUUGGAACAAAGGGCGAGGCUUCAUGGAAAGGCCGGUGCAUUUUCUUUCUGUGAGAGGUGAAUAGGCCAGGAAAGAAGGUGGACAUCAAAGUCAACACUGACUGCUAUUGCCUGCCUCUUUUCUCAUUUUUGGACUAUGUUGUAGCUUUUUCAUUCCUUAAUCCCAUACCAUCAGUAAUCAACAUUUUAUCAAUUUUUCUUAUUUUUUAUUGUUUACAUUUAGAAAUAUUAAUUUUAAAAUUUUAACUUAUAAGUUAAUUUAUAACCACAGCAACAACAACAACAAUAAUUAGGAGUAAAGCAUAUUAAAGGUUUGUUGAGAAUGAUUUUGAUAAAAAUAAUUUAAACUUGUAAUAGUAUUAUUAAUAACAAUUUAUUAUAUAUAAAUUUUUAUAGUCAUUUAAUGUUCACAUAUAAGUGAAAAAAUGUUCUUGAUAAUUUGUGUAUUAAAGGUUUGGGAUACAAUUUUAAAAUUCACCUUCCCUAUUUUGUCAUCAAUGAUUCGCUGAGUCCUUUUUAAAAAUGAUAAAAUUUAAAAUAAAAUUCACUUUGUGUCUUGACGCUUUUUCUUUUUGACCAAGACUCUCUGUGUCAGCCUGACGCUUUUUCUUUUUUACCAAGACUCUGUGUUUAUAUGAGGGAGAGAAAGAGAGAGAGAGAGAGAGAGAGAGAGAGAGAGAUAUGCUCUUUUUAGCAAGGUGGCAUCUCAGCAACUACAAGGUUUUUGAGACAAUUAUUUUCUUGGCUAUAGAAUUGCUAAGCCCUAUUUCAUAUUUGAUUUUCACUUGGGAAAAUAAGAAAUGUUUUAACUUUCUCUAAUUUUAUUUUUUUCCCUUUCGUUUUUUCAACCUCUAAAUUUUACAACAUGCAAAUGCAAUUAAUAAUUAUUGACUUACAAAAAUAAAUUAAAUUAUCUCAAUUUCAUUUUCAUGUAAUUGAAUUGAAAAAUGAAUUUACCGUAAAUGAGAAAAAAUGUUAAUUAAAAAACCAAGCUAAUUUGAAAUAGGUGGUAUUUUUUAUCAAGAAAAUUUAAAUCUAAAACUUUUAAAUUUUCACUCAAAAGAAAAAUUGGUAAAUACAAAUAACUUAAUUUGAUUAAGAAAUGAACCUAACAGCCUUCUUGUCCAUCUUGUUGCGUAGAUGAUUAGGUACAAAGACAUAGCAAACACAUCCGAAAACUCGAAAAUAACUAACUGUAGGCUUUAUGUUCCACAAUUUUUCAAAGGGUGAUGAAAAAUUUAACCUUUGUUGAGGAAGCCUAUUGAUCACAAAAGCUGCAGUCUUCAUUACUUCUGCCCAAAACCGUCCUGGAACAUUCUUUGCAUGAAGCAUACUUCUACAGAUUUCUGCUAGGUGCCUGUUCUUUCUUUUUGCUACGCCGUUUUGAUGCGGAGUGUUGGCACAUGUGAAUUGAUGGCGUACUCGGCAUUCUCGGAGGAAGUAAAAAAACUCAUCUGAGGUAUACUCUCCCCCAUUGUCAGUACACAGACAACAAAUUCUCUUAUCAACCUCUGCUUCCGUCAUUUCCUUGAAUUCUUUAAACUUUGAGAAAGUUUCAGAUUUUUAUUUCAUAAAGUACACCCACACGUACUUGGAAAAAUCAUCAAUAAAGGUCACCAUGUAUUUCAUCCCACUAAGAGAGGCUUGCUUAACAGGUCCAAACACAUCAGAGUGAAUUAGCUCUAAUGGCCCCUUUGCUUUCCAUUUUGACUCUUCAUACGGCAACUGAUGCGCUUUGCCGUACUGACGUCCUGCGCAGAUUGUAUCUUUUCUCACUUCAAGUUGUGGAAGUCCCUUCAGCAUUGACUUUUUCAUCAUCACAGUUAGUUUGGAAUAACUAACGUGACUUAAUUGCAUAUACCAUAAAUCGGCUGUCUCGUUCUUUCUGGUCUUGUCUACAUAUGCGGUUUCUGCAAACAUCACAUAGACUGACUCUAGUCUCCGUCCCUUUAUCACCGGCUCUUCCAUAAUCUCAAGGUCACGAUAAACUUUCACAUCUUGAGGGCCAAAUAGAACAAAAUGGCCUGAAGACGUUAAUUGUGCAACCGAGAGAAGAUUUUUCUUCAUACCUGGGACGUGAUAGACAUUUUGAAGCAUCACAUCAUUAGUAUUAUAUUGGGAAAAGACUACUGUAUUACCAAUGUGAGCUAUUGGUAGUUUUGAGUUGUUCGCUGUGACUACCAUAUGUCUUCCCUUGUACUCCGAAAAAUCCUGCAGCUUUUCUUUAUCACCUGUCAUAUGAUUUGGGUAGCCUGAGUCAAUGAUCCAAUCCUUCUCAUAAUGAAUUUGUUUAGACGUUGUUGCUAUAAAAGCUAAUUCUCCUAUUACAACAAAAAAUGCCUGAGUGUCCCACUCAUCUUCACUUUUGGAAGUAGCAGCAUUACUUUCCACAAGCCCUUUUUUCGACCAACAAUCUUUUGCCAUGUGACCCUUUUUUCCGCAAUUGUAGCACUUCCCUUCAAAUUUUUUUCCUGGUGCCAGGAUUCUUCGAAUCUCCCUCAACACGAGCACUCCUUUCACCUUGACUACUUUUUGCCUUGUCCUCAUUCUUUUUAGUUCUAUCGACGGUGUGCUGCUUGGAAUUCCACCUGCCUUUGUGGGCAUAAAGCGCUUCCUCUUCACCCUUGAGUGAAACCCCUCCCAUUUGUUUAGCUAAGGCUUCUUGACCAGUAAGCAAAUUCUCAAACUCAACAAGUGAUGGUUGAUUUUGCCAUCCCUGUACAACAGCAACAAAACCUCUGAAUUCUGGUCUCAAACCAUGGAUGAUUAUUCUCUUCAUCCUGGUUUCACCGAUUGGGGCUUCUAGAUCCAACUCGAAAAUUUCCCGGCAUAACGUCUUCACCUUGUGAAAGUACUGAGUGAUCGUCAAGUCACGUUGUGCUACCGACAACAACUCGCUCUCUAGAAGUUGGAGCCUUGUGUCAUUCUUCUUUGAGAACAGCUUGGUGAACGUAUUCCAAGCUUCGUAAGGGGUUUUGGCAUCUCAAAUGUGCUCUAGCACAUCUUCUUCGAUCGUUGUCUUCAAAGCAAACAUCGUUUUGCCUGCUUUUAUCUUCCAUAUCCGCAGUAUACCAUUCACAUCCUCAGCCUCCAAUUGAGUAAUUUCGCUUCUGUUCACAACCUCCCACAAGUCUUGGCCUUGCAUGUACGACAUCAUGCAUGUUAACCAAGUAUUGUAAUUUUGGUUGUUGAGCUUUUUUAUUCCGCCAAUGACUUGAAGAUCACCCAUUUCACUCUCUCUUUUCCUCACGUGUUUGACUCUCAAACACUCUCUAAAAUCCCUCUUCAACCUGACUCUGAUACCAAAUGUUGAAACCACUUUAUAAAAGAGACACAUAGAGGAGGAAAGAAAAUAAUUUUAUUGAUAGGGUGAUAUUUUUAAACUUCACCUGAUACAAGCCUUUUAUAGGCAAAACCAUCAACAGAAAUAGAAAUACUAAAAAAUAGGAAUAGAAAGAUAACCAGUCACUCUAAACGUGCUGCAACGACCUCUCUAAGACUUGGACAAUUCUUAAUUUAUUGAAAAACUACACAGAGGCAUAUUUUUGACACAAAAACAAACUUGACUUGUUCAAUACAUCCUCUCGGUCACAUGCUGAUGUUGAUAACUUAAACAACUUAUUUGUACAAAUUUUUCCCCUAGGAUAUCUGCUAGAAGUUGUUUUUGUAAUUCAAGCAAUGGAUAGUGUUGCCAUGCCUCACGAACAUUUGAAAGAAAGAUAGCAUCUUCAAAUUGAUGAGCAAUUUCGUUGUAUAUUACUUUGGCGAGGAUGGUCUUUCCUAUUCCACCAAGUCCAUAUAUUCCUAUCACGCGAACAUCAUUUGACCAGUGCAUUCAUUUCUUCCAAACGGAAAUCCAUUCCGACGAGGUUCUCAUCAACAUGAAAGCGUUUAGGUUAUGUUUGGUUCCCGAAAAAUAUUAAAGAAAGAAAAAAAAUGCAAAGAAAAAUGAUUUUUUCAUGUUUGGUUGUCCUAUGAAAAAUAUAAAAGAAAAUCAAAUAUAAUUAAAACUAAUUAAAAACUUAUGUAUUUUAAAAUUAUUUAAUCUUUAUAUUAAUGAGUUAAAAUAAAUAAAAUGAGUUUGAAGUAAAAAAUAAAAAUAACUAAUCAACUUUUAAUCCAUUUUUUAUUUUCCUUCACUUUUUCUUUCCUUCUAUUUUUCCUUUGUAUUUUCUUUCUCUUGCAUUUUCCUUCAAAUUUUCUGAGAACCAAACAUAGCCUUAGGCUUCAGCAUAUUGGAAACGUUUUGAGUAAUGCGAUGAAUGAUCUCAGAUUCCCAAAUGGAAAGCACAAUAUAACAACCUCCAAUGAACUACAAAUUAAUUGUAAGAAAAAAAAAAUUGAUGAUGAUUUAGUUUUAGUUUUUUUUGAAGCAGGUGAAACUAUUGGUGGCAGACUGGCAGUUGCCAUUAGAAAAAUGAAAAAUACCAAUCGAGUUUAUUUGUGCCGCAGGUGAAACUACUUAGUUUUUUUAAAAUUACUUUUCUAUUUUUUAAAUAUGAUUUAAAAAUACCUUUCUAUUUUUUAAAUAUGAUUUAAACGUUUUUCUAUUUUUGAAAUUAAAACCCUAUUUUAAAAAAAUUAUGGUCAGUUUGGUGGUCAUUCUCUACAAAUAAUCUUUAAAAAUAAGAUGAAAUAAAAAAGAAUUUUGGAGAACAAGUAAUAUAAGUUAUUUUUACAUAUUUAUAAAAACAAAGAAAAGCAUUGGGAAGUAAUUUAAAAAAGAAAAUAAUAAAAAAAUAAACAAAGUCUGAUAGAUCUCUUUCUUCUUUUAUUCUCUCUCCACCAAUCAAUAUCAAAAUUUUUAAAUAUGAUUCCUUUUUAAUUACACUUUAUUUAUUUAUUUAUUUGAAUUUACUUUAACUUUUAAAAUUCUUUAGGUAAAUAAAUUCCAAAUCAAAUGGUACAUGAUAUAUAUGAUUUAUUAAUUUAAAAAAAAAAAUUAAAACUCAAAAACCAAUCCAAUUAGUGUUGGAAAGUUACAAAACUCAAAACCAAUAUAGAAAACAAAUUUUGUUAAUUUUUUUACCAUGAACUUCAAAUCAAGUAAAAUUUAAUAUUUUUUUAUUCAUAAAUAAGUUUAGUAAUUUUUAAAAAUAAUUUCAAACUCAAAUAAUAACUCAAUUAAUAUAAAAAAUUUAUAAACAAAAAUUAGUUUAAAAUUACUUUAUUGUUUGACUAAUCUAUAGAAUCAUUUUUUUCUUUAAUUUGUUAGCAAGUUUAUUAAUUAAAAAAAAUAUAGAAUUCAAAACAUAACACAAUUAGUAGUGGAAAUUCACAAUCUAAAAUCUAUCCAAAAUGACUCUUAUAUUUCUCAUACAAAACUUUAUUUUUAUGAGUUUUGUCGCUGAAAAAAUGGAUUUUUAAUAGAAUUCAAAAAUAGACCAAAGUACUAUAAAAAAUAAUAAACCAAAAUUAAUACAUAAUAAGUUAUAACUUACUGUUUCUCCUAAGCGCAUAACCAUAUUUUCCAAAUUUUCUUGCUAGGUAAAUAGAAUCUAAAUCGGGACUUAAUAUCUUAAAUUCUUUAAUGAAUCUUCUCAUUUUUAAGAUAAUUUGAAAUUAAAAAAAAAAAACUAAAGAUAAAAACUAAUCCAAAAUACUAUGCCCUUAAUUGAAUGGUAAAUGUAUAGAUGUACUAAAAAUUUUACAUAUUUAAAUAUUAAAAAUAUUAAACUUUAUUUAUUUUUAAUAAAUCGAGACUUAAUAUCUUAAAUUCUUUAAUGAAUCUUCUCAUUUUUAAGAUAAUUUGAAAAAAAAAAACUGAAGAUAAAAACUAAUCCAAAAUACUACGUCCUUAAUUAAAUGGUAAAUGUAUAGAUGUAAUAAAAAUUUUACAUUUUUAAAUAUUAAAAAUAUUAAACUUUAUUUAUUUAAAAUUUUUUUUUUGAAUAAAUCAAGACUUAAUAUCUUAAAUUCUUCAAUGAAUCUUCUCAUUUUUACGAUAAUUUGAAAUUUAAAAAAAAAAUUGAAGAUAAAAACUAAUCCAAAAUAGUAUAUCCUUAUUUGAACGGUAAAUAUAUAGAUGUGAUAAACUUUUUUACAUAUUUAAAUAUUAAAAAUAUUAAACUUUAUUUAUUUUUAAAUUUUAUUGAAUAAAAUAUUAUUAAUUUUAAAUUAUUAUUUAUUUUAAUAAAAAAUCAAUUAAGCUUGAGAAAGAUGAUCACAUUUUUAUAACAUGUACUAAAAUAGUAUCAUUUUUGUAUAUAUAUAUAUAUAUAUAUAUAUAUAUAUAUAUAUAUAUAUAUAUAUAUAUAUAUAUAUAAUUCAUUAUUUUAGUACAUGUAAACAAGCAUAUAGGAAGUGAGCAAUGGAUGCCAAGAACGGACUCUCAGUUAAUUUUGGUCAUGCUUAUCCGAUUUCAUCAAACUCAGUUUCCAACACUUAAAAAUCAAACAUAAUUGUGACUUAAGUUGUCGAUGAAUAAAAAGCAACUCAAAACGGAAGAGAAAGAGUAGUUAUAUAACAUGCCCAUGCUGCACAUGCCAUCCAGACAGACCGCCGGCUUCGGUCAGUGCCGCCCUCCAUCUCAGCACCCUCUCCUCAGUGACGUUUCCGUAUCUUGCAAAUGCUUCUCCAAAACUUCCCGUUUGUUUCCGCACAUCAGAUGGAUCCACAUGGUAGAAAAUUGGUAGAACUUUUUGGCCCUUUUCUCUGCUGCACUGCAUGAUCUUAUCAAGCUCAUCCAAGCACCAUUUUGAAUGAGCAUAGUUUUCUGAAAAAACGACAACAGAAAUCAUUGAAUCUUCAAUAGCUUUCAAGAGUGAAGGUUGAAUCUCUCGUCCUCUUUCAAGUCCUUCAUCAUCUCUAAAGGUGUCGAUGCCCAUCCUCGUCAAAGCCGAAUAAAGAUGAUCCGUAAAAUUUAAGCGGGUAUCUUCCCCUCUAAAGCACAAAAAAACAUCCCAUCUCCAUUGAAAAGAAGAGGUGCCUGAAGAAGCCAUUCUUGGGAGCUAUCUGGUUGUUAGUCUCAAAUUACAAGACAAUCAGAAAAUUAUGGGUUGUUGUGGGAAGGUUUUAUCUCUCCACCCUUUUAACAGAGGAGCUUCCUCAAAUCUUGCAAGGAACUUUCAUAUUUUUUAUUUUAUCUUAUUCUUUUUAGUUUUUAAUUUUGGUAAUGCCAUAUGCAUUGUGUUUGGAACAAAGGGCGAGACUUUAUGGAAAGGUCGGUGUUGAGAAUCAGAAGAACCUGAAACUGAUGAAAAACACCAAGAAACAGAGGAUGUAAAAGAAAAUGGAUUGUAGAAAAGAAAACUAAAAAAUUACAUCAGACUUGAGUCCUAUUUAUAACACAUCAAUGACACAAUAACAGAGUAACAAAAAUAAACUGAAAUAACAACUUUUCUAACUAACUCUUCUCAUCUAACUUGCUACAUCAGACUUGAGUCCUAUUUAUAACACAUCAAUGACACAAUAACAGAGUAACAAAAAUAAACUGAAAUAACAACUUUUCUAACUAACUCUUCUCAUCUAACUUGCUUUCUAUUUUAAGUCUUUCUUCUUUCCUUUUUAGUUCCAUGCUUUCAAUAUGAGAUGCAACACUCCAACACCCCCCCUCAAGAUGAACAUGGAUGUUAAUGAUGUUCAUCUUGCGAAGAUUAUGAUGAAAAGGUAGAGAACCGAGAGGCUUUGUAAAGAUAUCUGCGAGCUGUAAUCGUGAUGGAAUAUGGAAGAGCUUAAUAACAUGCUGCUGCAAUUUUUCACGAAUAAGAUGGCAGUCAAUCUGGAUAUGCUUUGUUCUCUCGUGCUGAACUAGAUUUGUGGCGAUGGACAUUGCUGAUUGACUGUCAGUAUAUAGCAAAGCUGACUGUGAAUGUUUGAUAUCCAGGUCUUGUAAGGCAUACAAAAGCCAUUGAAUUUCACAGGUGGUAGUUGAAAGGGCUCGGCACUCUGCCUCUGCAGAGGAUCGACUAACUGUAACUUGUUUCUUUGAUUUCCAUGAAAUCAAGGAGUUGCCAAGAAAAAUUGCAAAACCAGUGACACUCCUUCUAGUAUCGACACAGCCUGCCCAAUCACUAUCGGAAAAACCCUUUAAUUGAAAAUCUGAGGAAGAAGGAAAAAAGAGACCUUGCCCUGGUGUGGCCUUUAGAUACCUCAGUACUCGAAUGGCUGCUUGAUGGUGACUAACAGCAGGUUUUGCUAAAAAUUGGCUGAGUACUUGUACAGAAUAGGCUAAGUCAGGCCUAGUGAGAGUUAAAUAAAGUAAUCUGCCAAUGAGUCUUCGGUAACCUGAUGGAUCUUCAUAGAAAUUGGUAUCAUUUGCUAAUAACUUGAGGGUAGAUUCCAUGGGAAAGGCAGCAGGUUUGGAUCCAGUUAAACCAGUGUCUUCAAGUAUGUCAAGUAUAUACUUUCGUUGGCAUAAGGAGAUACCAGUCUUGGACCUUGCAACUUCCAAGCCAAGAAAGUAUUUUAGUGGGCCUAAGUCUUUAAUAGUGAACUUGGCAUCUAAAAAGGUCUUCAACCUUUCAAUUUCCAGAAUGUUAUCACUUGCCAAUAGCACAUCAUCCACAUAGACUAAUAAGGCCAUAAAAGAACUUUCAGAUUUCUUAAUGAACAGAGAACAGUCAGAAUUACCUUGAAUAAAUCCAUAGGAAAGAAGGGCCUGGGAUAGUUUGGCAUACCAUUGUCUGGAAGCUUGCUUCAAGCCAUAGAGGCUCUUUAGAAGACGACAAACUUUCUGUUCACCUUGGACAGCCAACCCAGGAGGCAAUUCCAUGUAUACCUCUUCAUGUAAAUCACCAUGCAAAAAUGCAUUAUUAACAUCUAGUUGAUGAAGAUGCCACUGUUUGAUGGCAGCCACAGCAAGUAGUAAGCGAAUGGAUGUAAUCUUGGCCACAGGAGAGAAAGUAUCAAAGAAAUCAAGGCCUUCUUGCUGAGUAUACCCUUUUGCCACCAAUCUAGCUUUAUGUCUUUCUAUAGUUCCAUCAGCUUUAUAUUUCACUUUGAAUACCCAUUUACAACCAAUAGUCCUUUUAUUUUUAGGAAGAGUAACAAGCUCCCAAGUUUUGUUUAACUCCAAAGCAGUAAGUUCAUGUUGCAUGGCAGCUUGCCAUUCAGGGAGGCGAGAAGCUUGGGUGUAUGAUUUGGGUUCUAGAGAGUUUGUGAUAGAGGUGAGAAAAGCUUUAUGGGAUGUAGACAGUCUACUAGUAGAAAGAAAAUGGUGAAGAGAAUAGAAAUUACCUUUAGUGGGAGAACAAUCAAGUGAAGUAGAUGCCUGAGUUGCAUUUUGAGAAGAAGAGACAUUACCACAAUAAUAGUCCUGCAGAUAUGAAGGUUUUUGUUUAAUUCUGGUUGAUUUUCUGAGCUGUAGGACUUUAGGGUCAGUUGAAUCCACAUGGGAUGGAGAGGGAAAUGUAGGUGAGUUGGAUUCAAGAAGGGCAGGAGGUUCAGAGAGAGAAGGAGAAUUAUUAGGUGGUGAUGCAGAUCCCACAUUAUGAUAGGAAUUGAAGAAGGAGGUGGUAGAAGGUGAAUCUGAAAAGGAUUGUGAAAGAGGAAACAUAAAAGAAUGAGUUUCAGGAUGUUGGGGCAACACUUGGAAAGGAAAAAUUGUUUCAUGGAAUAUGACAUUUCGAGAAACAAGGAUCUUAUUGGUGUUUAGAUCCAUGAGUUUAUAACCCUUAAUAUCAGAAGGAUAUCCUAGGAAGAUGCACUUUGUGGCUCGUGAAUCAAAUUUUUGUCUGUGACUAGUUAAAGUGGAUGCAAAACAAAGGCAGCCAAAAACUCUUAAAUGAGAAAGGUUAGGUGUUUUGUUAAAAAGCAUUUCAAAAGGGGUUUUAUUUUGAAGUAGAGGAGUGGGAAUUCUAUUGAUUAUGUGGGCAGCAGUAAGCACACAGUCACUCCAAAAAAUUAAUGGUAGAUUUGCUUGAAACAUUAAGGCUCUAGCAGUGCUUAGUAGAUGUUGAUGUUUUCUCUCCACAACACCAUUUUGUUGAGGAGUUUCGACACAACUUCUCUGAUGCAAAAUACCAUAUUUAUGAUAGAAUUUUGUAAGUAAGAAUUCUGGUCCAUUAUCAGACCUUAUAGCUUUGACAGAAGAAGAAAAUUGGUUUGCUACCAUUUUACAGAAAUUUUUUAUUAAAGAUGGCACUUCUGAUUUAGCUUUAAUCAUGUAUACCCAAGUACACCUUGUGAAGUCAUCGACUAUAGUUAAAAAAUAUCGAAAACCAGAAUAAGAAGUAGUGCCAAAGGGACCCCAUAUAUCACAAUGGAUCAAAUCAAAACUUUUAUUAGAAUUACUCUGUGAUAUAGAAAAAGGAAGCCUUCUUUGCUUUGCUAAAGGACAUAUGUCACAAACAUUUGUAUGAUCAAGAGUGAUAGCAGAGUCAAUCUGUUUGAGGGAAUGGAAUCUUGAACUAGAUACAUGUCCUAAUCUACAAUGCCAUAUAUCUAAGUGUUUGUGAAUAGAGGACAAAGCAAGAGGAACAGAAUUAAACUGAAAUGAAUUGCAGGUUUUAGCUUGUGAUGAAGCUGGAAUUAGAUGGUAAAGUCCUUCUUUUUCAAGAGCAAUCCCAAUCAUCUUCUCCAUUGACUGGUCCUGUAAAAGGCAAUGAGAAGUAGUAAAGGUAAGAGAAAGAUUAGACUGUUUAGUGAGUUUGGAAACGGAUAAUAGAUUGAAUGAAAAAUGAGGAACACACAAGACAUUAUGUAAAAAUAAGGAAUCUGAGAGACAUACAGUACCAAUGUGUGUGGCUGGAACUAUAGUACCAUUAGGAAGAUUGAUGGAUGCAUUAAUUGGUUUAGGUGUAAAAUGGUAUAAAAGUGGUGAACAAAUCAUAUGGUCUGUUGCACCCGUAUCAAGAAGCCAAUAUGAAGUGGAAUUUGGCUUAGAAGUAACAGAAUUACAAGAAAAAAUUGGUUUAAGUGUAGGUUGAACUUUACCAGAAAAGUGAGAGGUGGUGACAAGGUUAACAGCUGGUUGGACAUUAUUCUGAUUGGAAGAAUUGGGUUGAACUGAAUUUGCAAGCGCCACUAGUUUAUGAAAUUCCUCUGGAGUGAAACAAAACUUUUGUUGCUCAUUGCUAUUUUGAUUGGGAACCUUUGGAGUAGUAAUGGCAGCAUGAGCAGAAGCCAUAUUUCUUUUUCCUUUUGGUCUAUUCCAGCCAAGGGGAUAACCAUGAAGUUGAAAACAUUUGUCCACUGUGUGACCAUUAUAGCCACAAUGAGUACAGUGUGGGGCAGAUUUCUUUGGUUUGUCCUUGAAAGAUUGUGGCUGGUAACUCUGCUGAUUGGAUUGCUUUGCCAUCAAAGCAUGAGUCUCAUUACAUGUAGCAGAAUUUGUGAGUUGCCUCUGACUUUCUUCUUGAAGCAGUAGAGAGAAAACCUUGGACAUGUUUGGUAAUGGAACCAUUAGCAGCAAUUGGCUUCUGAUAGAGGCAUAAGAAUCAUUUAACCCCACCAAGAAUUUGAGUACAUAAUCAGAUUGCUGUCUGAUUUGUAGAAAGUUGAAAAGUUCACAAGUGCAUGUUGCCAUCUUGCCACAAGUGCAUGUUGGAAAUGGCCUAUAGCUAAUGUACUCAUCCCAAAAGGUCUUAAAGGUACUGAAAUAUUCAGUAACAGACAAAGCACCUUGACUGAUGCAACUCAAAGAUUUCUCAAGUUGGAAAACCCUUGGUCCAUCACUCCUGAGAUAUCUUACUUUAAGCUCAGUCCAAAGAUCAACAGCAGAUACCACAAACAGCAAGCUAUUUCGUAUUUAUUUUGAAAUGGAAUUCAUCAACCAAGAAAGAACCAGAUUAUUUGCCCUUAACCAUGCUGUGUGUUUAACAAGCUGAUCAAUAGAGGGAGAAACAAUUGAACCAUCUAUAAAUUGUACCUUGUUUUUUACUGUCAAUGCAAUGACUAUCGAACGACUCCAUGCAACAUAGUUUUCUCCAUUGAAGAUUUCUGAUACUAACAAAGCACCAGGAUUGUCGCUUGGAUGUAGGUAAUACGGGCUCGAUGAGUCAUCUGAAGGAUUGAUAGGAGGCUGAUUAAAAGAAUUAGAUGAAGAAGGAAGCACAGGAGAGGGAUUGACAAGAGGAGAAUCACCAAAACUCAUUUUCAAGAAUUUAUUCAAGAAAAUGCAAGAAGCUGGAAGACGAUCAAUGCAAGAAUUCUAGAGCAGAAUUUCGCAAGGCAGAAGUUGAGAAGAAAUUGAUCGAUUUAGGUUGCGGAAGCUUUAGGGUUUGGCUCUGAUACCAUGUUGAGAAUCAGAAGAACCUGAAACUGAUGAAAAACACCAAGAACCAGAGGAUGCAAAAGAAAAUGGAUUGCAGAAAAGAAAACUAAAAAAUUACAUCAAACUUGAGUCCUAUUUAUAACACAUCAAUGACACAAUAACAGAGUAACAAAAAUAAACUGAAAUAACAACUUUUCUAACUAACUCUUCUCAUCUAACUUGCUUUCUAUUUUAAGUCUUUCUUCUUUCCUUUUUAGUUCCAUGCUUUCAAUAUGAGAUGCAACACUCCAACAGCCGGUGCAUUUUCUUUCUGUACAUGAGAGGUGAAUAGGCCAGGAAAGAAGGUGGACACCAAAGUCAACACUGGCUGGUACUAUGCUGCAGCUUUUUCAUUCCUUUAUCCCAUACCAUUAGUAAUCAACUUUUAUCAAUUUUUCUUAUUUUUUAUUGUUUACAUUUAGAAAUAUUAAUUUUAAAAUUUUAACUUAUAAAUUAAUUUAUAACAGCAGCUACAAUAAUAAUAAUAAUAAUAAUAAUUAACUUAAAAAAAAUGAUUCGGAGUAAAGCAUAUUAAAAGUUUGUUGUGAAUGAUUUUAAAAUUCUGCUUCCCUAAAUUGUCAUCAAUGAUUUGCCAAGUCCUUUUUUUAAAAUGAUAAAAUUUAAAAUAAAAUUGGCAAAUAGCAAAAUCCAUAUAGUGAUUUUUAUCAAAUAUAUUUAAAACGUGAGACCAUAAUUUAGAAAGCUAAAAUGAUGUGUUUUACCAUAAUUCUAAAAUCUUGGAAUAAGUGAGGUUUAAGUUACUUGAACAAGUUUGAAACUUGCAUUGAAUCUCUAGAAUAUGAUCAUUGUAAUUUAAAAAAAAAAAAAAAACGAUUAUUCUAAAAGAAAAGACAUGAUGUAGGAUCACAGAGCUAAUGAUUGGGAAAAAAAUUAAGUAAAAAAAAAAAAUGUGUGUAAUGCAUUGUGUAGAUAAGUCAACAUAUGCAUGGCUAAUUAUAGACGAAUUUGCCCCAUUGAAUGUUGGGAGAGAGAGAGAGAGAGAAUAAUUUGCCUAAUCAGAGACAAGGUCCCCACACGCUUUUUCUUUUUGACCAAGACUUGUGUUUAUAUCGAGAGAGAGAGAGAGAGAGAGAGAGAGAGAGAUGUUCUUUUUGGCAAGGUGGCAUCUCAGCAACUACAAGGCUUUGAGACGAUUAUUUUCAUAGCUGUAGAAUUGCUAAGCCCUAUUUGAUAUUUGAUUUUCACUUGGAAAAAUAAGAAAUGUUUUAACUUUGACUAAUUUUUUUUUUUUUUCCCUUUCGUUUUAUCAACCUCUAAAUUUUUCAACAUGCAAAUGCAAUUUUCCAUUAAAAAUUAAAUUAAAUUCAUUUUUAAAAUUUUCAAAUAAUUAUUGACUUACAAAAGUAAAUUAAAUUAUCUCAAUUUCAUUUUCAUAUAAUUGAAUUGAAAAAUGAAUUUAUUGCAAAUGAGGAAAAAUGUUAAUUGAAAAAACCAAACUAAUUUGAAAUAGGUGUUAUUUUUUAUCAAGAAAAUUUAAAUUUAAAACUUUUAAAUUUUUACUCAAAAGCAAAAUCAGUAAAUAAAAAUAACUUAAUUUGGUUAAGAAAUAAAUCUAAAAUAUGACCAUAAAAUUCAAAAAUUGAAACUAAAAUUCAACCAUAUGCAACGAAUAUUUUUGUCUAAUAAGGAUUCAACUUCUUGUGAAAUUACGUUUCAUAAAUUUUUAUAAAUUUUGUCCUUAAAAAAAAUAUAGUAACAUUAAAAAUCAUAUAAUUUGGAUUAAAAAUGAAUUUACCAUCUUUUUUCAAAGUUUACUUAUUUACAAUUAACAAAACUAAAAUCAACCAAUAAUCAUCAAAAUAAAUUUUUCUUCAAUUAGAAGUUUAGAAGGAAUCAACUUUUCCAAUUAUUUUUUGAAAAAUAAAAUAACAAGAUUUGAUAUCCUUCCUCAAAUUAAGAAUAGGAAAUUAAUAAAUUGAUUUCAACAAUGAACACAUAUUUAAUUAACAAAUCCAUAAACAUAAGGAUGCACUACAUAAAAAUCAAUCAUAAUAAAUGAAAUUUAACUUAAAUAAUGUUAAAAAUAAUUAGAAACAAUAAUUAUUACCCAAUUACCAAUUUAUUUAUUAAUUACAUUAAUAAUCAUUAACCAAUAUUUUGUUAUUGUAAUCAAUUUUUCUAUUUAGGUAUAUCUUGAAAUAUGCUAAAUUAUUUUUUCUUUUCAGAUAUCAUAUCUUUAAUAUAUAAAAUAAGAAGAGAUAAAUUAUUAACCAAUGACCAAUUUACCAACCAAUUACAUCAUUAAAUAUUAUAAAAUUUUAAUUAUUGUAACCAAUUGUGUGAUUUUGGGAUAUUUCAAAACAUAUUAAAUUACUUUGUUCUUUGAAAUCAUUAGCUUUCAAAUUAUUAUCUUACUAUAUAAAUAAGAAAAAAUAAAUAAAUUUUGUUAUUUUUAGAAAUUUGGAAAUACAAUAAGUUAUUUAAAAAAAUAUUAAUAUUCAAAUAUCUUUAUCUUAAUUAUAAUAAAAAAAAUUAUCUCAUUAUGUAGACCCCAAAAUUUGCCCUUUUCUUUUACAUUAACUUUGACCCCCAAUUUUGUCUUUAGAUUUAAAAUUUCAAUUACAUUAUUUUUUAACUCGCUCAUCAUUUAAUAGUUUUUAUUAUUUUGUAUAUCAUUUCAUUUUAUUUUAUUAUCAAUAUUUUUAUUUUAUUAUUAUUAUUAUAUAUAUAUAUAUAUAUAUAUAUAUAUAUAUCUCUCUUCUCUCUCCUCUCUCUGCUCCCCAACCACCCCACCUCUCUCUCUUCCCAUUCUUCCCACCCCCAUUCCCAAGAUUUUCCCCCCAUUUUCCGCCCCUUCCCCCCACUCCACCUUCCUUUCCCCCCAUUUUUGUUUUUCUCCCUAUUUUGCCCCCCCCCCCCCACUCUGAUUUUUAUUUAUUUAUUUUUCACUUUUUGCCCGCAGCCGGCCAUUGAAGAGUUUUGACACUUUCCUUUCCCCCCAUUUUUGUUUUUCUNNNNNNNNNNNNNNNNNNNNNNNNNNNNNNNNNNNNNNNNNNNNNNNNNNNNNNNNNNNNNNNNNNNNNNNNNNNNNNNNNNNNNNNNNNNNNNNNNNNNUUUGCUUUGAGUAAAAAUUAAAAGUUUUAAAUUUAAAAUUUUCUUGAUAAAAAAUAACACCUUUUUUCAAAUUAGUUUGGUUUUUUCAAUUAACAUUUUUUCCUCAUUCGCAAUAAACUUCAUUUUUCAAUUCAAUUAUAUGAAAAUGAAAUUGAGAUAAUUUAAUUUACCUUUGUAAGUCAAUAAUUAUUGAAAAUCUUAAAAAUGAAUUUAAUUUAAUUUUUAAUGGCAAACCCCAUCCCCCCUGUUGAAAAAUUUAGAGGUUGAUAAAACGAAAGGGAAAAAAAAAAAAACCCCUCUAAAGUUAUUUCUUGUCCUCAGUUUCCCAUUGAAGGUUUUUGGGGGGGGGGAGGGGGGGGGCCAUUUUUUCUUCCCUUCCUCCUCCAGUCGACCUCCAUUUUUUUUUUUUUUCCUUUUUCUUCUUCCCCAAAAACACCCAACAUCCAGCUCCCCCAUUCCUCUUUCAUUUUAAUUUUUUAUUUUAUUAUUUUUAUUUCAGUUUAUUUUAUUUUAUUUUAUUUGUAAUUCCCAAAAAAACCAUCCACUACUAUCGGCAAGAUCACUGGCCAGACGCCGUCGGCCGGCGACCUCCUUCCGUUUCUCUCAUUACCUCACUUCCCGUAUCACUUUAUUAUUAUUAUUAUUAUUAUUAUUAUUAUUAUUAUUAUUAUUAUUAUUAUUGUUAUUGUUAUUAUUAUUAUUGUUAUUGUUGUUAUUUUAUUUUAUUUUAAUAGUAAUUGUUGUUUGUGAAAUUUGGAUUGUUGAAUUAAUAUGAAAUUUAUGAUUAAUUUAUUGUGAGUAGAUUAAUACAUAAUUUGAUUUAAUUUAUUGUUAGUGAAUUAAUUUGAAAUUUGUUAAUUUGGAUUUAUGGGCAUAUUGUAUUUGGUGAUUAAUUUAGGGAUAUUUGGAUUAUAUCAAUUGUAUAUUGUUUAUUUGGACUUGGAUCUAUUGUUAAGUUGUUAUUUGUUUGACCUUAUUGGAUUGGGCUUGGAAUAUUAUUUCUCUUGAUCGUGUAUUUUUUUUAUGUGGGCUUGUUAAUUAAUGUGAAUUUUGGGGCCCAUAAUGUGGGUGAGAUUUGUUGGAUUAUUUCAAUAUUUGAUAUGGGCUUAGCCAAUUUGAAUUGUUUAAUUUGGACAUGGGACAAUUGUGGUGUAUAUUAAACUAGGCUUAGAUUAUGAAAUAUUAAAUUUAGGUCUAGUAGAAUUUAUUUUAAUUUAUCCAAUUUUAGGUUUAGUUGAUUGUGUUUGUAUUUUUUGUUAUUAAUUUGGAUGUUCUAGGUUAAGACCUAUAGUAAUUUGGACUCAUUUUAAUUGACGAAAUUUAUGGGACUGAUUUGAAAUUGGAAUUUGGGUUUGAAUAUUUGUUUGAGGUUUUAUAUAUCUCUGGAUAUUUACAUCUGUGUUAUUCUUGUUUUUGCAUGGACCCACUCUGCAAUCUUGUUAGCUGAGUACGACUUGAUGACACGUAGAGCUUGUUGUAAGUUUAUUUGGGUAUAUAUUUUAUUUCCCACUUUUAUUUGGUUUUAUUUUUAUUAGGUCUUGUAAAUAUUUGUUUGUAUAUAUUUAUUGAGUGUGCGUAGAAUUGAACAUUGAACAAACUAAAAUUUUUUUUUAAAUGAGAGGACGAAGCCAGUAAAUUUGUUUUAAUAAAACAACAAUUUUAAAAUAUUAUUUUUAAUAAAAGAAAGUUUUUUUAUUAUUUAUAAAAAUUCAUAAAAAUGCAUUUAGAAAAAUCCAAAAAAAAUAUUUUUAAUAGAAUUUGAAAAAUUGUUUUUAAUGACAUUGUUCAAAAAUUUCUUUGUUUAAUAAAAAUUGUUUUGUAAAUAAAGUUGUUCCAAAAAUUAAUUUUUAGUAAAAUUGUCUAAAAAUAUUUUUUUAAAUGAAUUCUUUUUCCUUAAUUAAAGUGAGAUUAAAAGUGUUUUUUCAGGAAAUAGAGAAUUUAAAUCUUUGUUCUUCUUUUUAAUUAAAUUUUUUUUUUCAAAUAAAGUUAUGUCAUUUUAAAUAAUUUAUAAAAAUCACUCUUUUAAAUGAAAAUGAAUCUAAAAACUUUUGUAAAUAAAAUCGUAAAAAUUCAUUAUUUUCUAGUAAAAGUAAGUAAAAAUAAUUUUUGUCCUCAAAUUGAAAUUUUGUAAUAAAUUCUUUUGAUACAAUAAAUGUAAAUAACUUUUUUUUUUACAAUUGAAUACAAAUGAAAUUGAGAAAAUAAAUUGAUUCUUUUUUAUAAGUAAAUAAAUGGAAAUCAUUAAUUCAAAAUCAUUUGAAAUUUCUUUAAAACUUUUUUUAAUAUCUCUUAUUUAUUUAAUUCAAUCAAUCAUUUUGCAUAAUUAUCUCAUUAUUUAUUUUGUGUAUUUUUGUAAUUAGAUUUCAUCAUUGUUUUUGUGCAUAUUAAUUUUCACUAUGACUUGUAUAUUGAUUAUUUUUUCUUGGUAUCCAUAAUUAAUUAAUUAAUUGCCGCAAUUUUCUCAAUUCGUUUAGUAAAGGUCGUACGUAUACGGGAGAGGGAUGCUAUAGCUCACCACCGUACCUUCCCAAUGAGUAACCUAAUUCCCGGACCCAGACUCGAUUUUUACAGACCUGUUUUUUUCCUUCAGGAGUCACACUUAGGGUUUUUCUUUCUUAUUUUGUUUUUUCUUUUAAAAAUAAAACAAAAAUAAGUGGUGACUCUGAGUCUUUUUCUAAAAUCAAAUUUUCACCAAAUAAAAUAAAAAACGAGUUUCGUCAUCGAGUGGGAACACAUCAAGCAAAAUACGGGGUCCACACAUUAUUAAAAAUAAAUAGAUUUAAUAAUUAAUAAAACAUUCAUAAAAUUAAACAAAUUAAUAUUUUAAUAAUAUUAUUACUAAAAAGCGUUUCAAAUUCUUAAUUAAUACAAAUUCCUUUUUAUAAAGUAUAUUAUAUGAAAUAUUUCCUUGAUGGGAUAUUAAAUUUCCUUAUAGGACAAGGAAAGGUACUAAGAAUAUUUUUAUAAAUAUUGUAGUUAUGAGGGGAAAAAAAUUAUGGGAUGGGGAUGAGUUUGUAAAGAUCACACUAGGUGGAUAGAAAUGUGAAAAAAGAAUGAAAAACACUUAGUGAAAAUAAAUAAAUAAAUUAUUAUAUCAUCAUUUUUAUUUUUGUAUUAAUAUCAUAUAAAGAAAUAUAAUUCUAAUACUUCUUAUUUAUCAUAUUAGAUAAUUAAAAUAAAAAAUUUUAUUUUAUAAGAAAUUUAAUUUUAAUAUCAAUCAAUUAAAAAAGAGUUUGGUUUACUAUAACUCUCUUAAAUUAACUAAAAUACGCUUUUUUUUAGAAUUUUAAUUUUAUUAGGUAAAGGAAUUACUAAUAAAAAUUUGCAUUUAAAAGAAGACAUAUUUUAAUAUAAAAUUAUUUAAUAAUAAAAAUGAUAAAUAUAAAGUAAAAAAGUGAUACAAUUUUAAAAUUCACCUUCCCUAUUUUGUCUUACCAAAAUUUAUGUUUUGAAAGUCAUUACCAAAAUUUAUUUAUUUUUCUUAUUUAUAUAAUGAAGAUAAUAAUUUGAAAGGUAUUAAUUUAAAAGAACAAAGUAAUUUAAUAUGUUUUGAAAUAUCCUAAAAUCACACAAUUGAUUACAAUAAUUAAAAUUUUAUAAUAUUUAGUGAUGUAAUUGGUUAGUAAAUUGGUCAUUGGUUCAUAAUUUAUCUUUUCCUAUUUUAUAAAAUAAAGAUAUGAUAUUUGAAAAUUAAUAAUUUGAAAAAACAAAUAACUUAACAUAUUUCAAGACAUACCAAAACAGUAAAAUUGAUUACAAUAACAAAAUGUUGGUUAAUGAUUAGUAAUGUAAUUAAUAAAAACAAUUGGUAAUUAGGUAAUAAUUAUUGUUCCUAAUUAGAUGUCAUUGCUAAAAAAAUGUUAAAUCUUUUUAAGUUAAAUUUCAUUUAUUACUUAUUGAUUUUUGUUAAUAAAAUAUGUGUUCAAUUGUUGAAAUUAAUUUAUUAAUUUCUUGUUCUUAAUUUGAGGAAGAUAUCAAAAUCUUAUGAUUUUUAUUUAUUUAUAAUUAAUUGGAAUAGUUGAUUCUAGAACAUAUUUAUUACAUUAUGAAUUUGUGUUUUGAACUUGAAUCAAUGAUUAUUAGUUUAUUUUAUUUUUCUUAAUUGUAAAUGACUAAACUUUGAAAAAUUAUAGUAAAUAUAUUUUUAAUCCAAAUUUUAUGAUUUCAAUGUUAGUGAUUUUUUUUUUUUUUAGAAUGAAUUUACAAAAAUUUUAUGAAGCUUAAUUUCAUGAGAAGUUGAAUACUUACAAGACAAAAAUAUAUGUUUAUGUGGUUGAAUUUUAGUUCUAAUUUUGGAAUUUUAUGGACAUAUUUUUUUAUUCAUUUCUUAAUUUAAGACAAAGUUAAAGCAUCUCGUAUUUUCGAGAGUGUGGAAAACCAAACAUUAAUGUUUAAGUCAAACAAGCCUCAGCAAUUCUAUAGCCAAGAAAAUAAUUUCAUGGAGAGCAACCCAAGAGCUCAUGGAAAAUAAUUGUCUCAAUUCCUUAUUAUUUUUUAUCAUUAGGUGUGAAAUUCUCUCGCAAAAACCUUGUAGUUGCCUAGAUGCCACCUUGCUAAAAGCGUGUGGGGACCUUCUCUCAGCUCAAAAACAAGGAAAUAACACAUAGGGACGUGCAAUGGGGGAAAACUCAUCCAUGGUUAUUCCUUCACUCAUGCAUUUAUUUUCUAUGUUGGAUGUUUUCAAAAUUGGACCAGAGUUUAAUAGUCAAACCGAUGAUUGAAUUAUAAUGACGUUGGUGGCAUCAUAAAAAUAUAAUUUAUAUAUUAUUAAAAUUAAAAAUAAUUAUAAAAAUUAAAAAACGUAUAAAUAGUUAAAAAAUUUAAACACAUUUCAUCAUUUUAUUGUCAUUAAUAUUGAUAGCUUAAAUUAUGAUAAAAAUAAUAUAAAGAUUUAUUAAAUUAUUAUCAAUUUUAAUUUUAUUAAAUGUAUCAUUUUUAUUAUUUAAGUUUGUUUGAAUUUCAAUAGUUAUAUAUUUUACUAUCUUCAAAUUAUUAUUAUUUUUAUUUAAAUAUUAUUGAUAAAUCGUAAAACUUUAUAUUCAUUUUAAAUCUUGCAAUAAUGUGUACAUAGUUUUUCUUUAUUUAUUUUUGUUUCUGAAAAAACCAUAGGCUUAGCUUGGUGGCCUUUUUGAUAUUUCCAUUCCAAAUACCCUGGUUCAAAUCUCAUUGUUCAAUGGCUUUUUCCCCUGAAAGCCGAACAAGCCCAUAAGUUUGUCAUUAACAUAGAAAUGGGCUUGGGUGAUGGGUGUGGGCUUAAGCGCCCGAGUGGAGCACUUGGACUAUGGGCCAAUAGCUGAGUUUGGAAAUGAGAGUAGCUUCUAGAUCGGCCGUGCCGCGAGAAAUAAUUUUUUCUGGAAAUAAAUUAAUAAAUUAAGGAAAAAAAAAUUCAAAUCGGAAUGCAUUUGGGAUAAGAUUACUCAAUGGGACGGAUAUUAGUCACCCCAGCAAGCCCAAAAAAUUCAUCAACUCUUUACCAAGUAAGUUGAUACAAUUUCCACAUUUUUUUACUUAAUUGAUGGAUAUUCAUAUCAAAAAUAAAAUAACACAAAUUAAUUUAUUAGAUAAAUUAUAAUUUUCUUCAAUAUCAAUUUCACUAAAAUUAAUUUAUAGGAUAAAAUCAAUUUAAAGGACAAAAUUUUAUUUUUCUUCAUUACGAAUUCCACUAAAAUUAAUUUAUGGAAUAAAAUCAUUUUUUUUAAUGUCCAAUGAAUUUAUUAAUUAAAAUUGUGAUUUGCUAAUUUCAACUUUAUAAUAAUCGACUUAUGAAAAUAAACCCGAAUUUAUCCAAUAUUGCCUUCAUAAUAUGCAACUUACAUAUAAAAUUAUAAUUUUAUUCGCAUCGUUAGUAAUUAAUUUGCACAACCAAAUUCUAGUUUCAUUAAUGCAUAUCUUAUAGUAAUCAAUUUAUGAAAUAAAUUCUGAUAUUACCCACAUCAAUCUUAUACAAAUCCAAAAAAUCAUAUUCUAAUUCUGUCAAUACCAGCUUUAUAAGACUGAAUAUAGUAGCAUCCCCAUUUCUUCAAUGUGAAUUUCAUAAUGGUCCAUUCAUAGAAUAAAAUCUAGAUUCUAACAUCAUGAUUUUAUGAUCGAACACCAAUUGUAUAGUAAAUGAGUUGGUGAAAUAUGAUCUUAAUUUGAUUAAUAUUCAACUUUGUAAAAUCAACUUAUGACUUAAUUAUUGAUUCCAUUACGAUCAAUCUUAUAAGAAAUCAGUGUGUGGAAUUUUGUGACCUAAAUAUUGGUUUAAUUACAUCAAUUUGAAUUAACAUCUGAUUAAUUUUAUUAAUUCUAGAAAUUAUAGGUAUUAAAGUAAAUUACAAAUUAUAUAUGCAAGUACAUCAAAUUUCCAUUAAUUUCAUAUUUGCUUGCAUUUCUUCUUCGGCCUUAAUGUGUUAAGUUCUUGUUAUUGCUUUCUUCCAAGUGGUUGUAAGCAUGAGAGCUUGUACUACAUUGAUGCUAAAACAUGCUUCUCAUGCAAUAUAGUGGAAACAAGAACAUGGUAGAAAGUACAAGAAACCUAUUUAGAUGUGUUUUCCAUCAUGCCAAAAUAUUAAAAGUAUUAUCAUUGCCCAAAACAAGGGAAGGAGUUUUAGGAUAAUAUUGUAAUUUCAAAAACGAAUUACAACUUGAUUUCCUCUUUUUUGACGAAAUCCCAAGAAGGAAGCUUACUUUUAAAGGAAGAUGAUUGAGAUUAAGAAAUUUGUGCAAAAGAAAUGUUGGUCCAAUAUUUAGAACUAUAUUAUAAAAAUUGUUAUAAACAUUUAUGGUAAUUUGUAAAAAAUAACAGUAUUACCAUGUUCGUACUAUUAUCAUAUGGGUAUAACCGAAAACGAAGAACUAACUUAUUCUCUCCUCUUUGUUCUCAAUUAAAUUUUACAUUUAAUUUAUAACACAUUACCAACACAUCAUUUUGACAAUAAAAAGAGAAGAUAAUUCAUUCACAAGAGUUCUUGCUUACCGAAAAUACAAGAAAAAAAUUCAUCCAUAAGAGUUUUUGCUUGCUUGAACACUAAACCAUUUUUAUAAAGAUAUAUGGUCAUAUUUUCUUCAAACACUUUGAUUUCAAAACAUAUAUUAAAAGUGAUAUUUCUUCCUGUUAGGAAUUUGAGGUUAAUCCAAAUUAUGGUAAUCACCCUAGAGGGGGGGGGGUAAAUAGGGUGAUGGUCUCUUUUUCACAAAUUUAAACUAUGCAAAAAUAAGAGACAAUUAUAUGCAAAUAUAUAAUAAACAAAAUAAACACAAUUGCAUAUAAUUUAAAAGAGUUAGGGAAGAGAGAGUGCAAACACGAGAGUUUAUAGUGGUUCGACACUUCCUUGCCUACGUCCACUCUCCUCAACCUCAUAACCGAGUGAGGGUUCCACUAUCUUGAAGCUUCAACCAAGCUUCCAAUCUCUUUACAAUUGAAUUAUGGUUCCAAUUCACCCUCUUGAACUUUUGGCUCCAAGCACCCUUUACACUUCUUCAAGAAAUAUCCUUCUCUUGAACAACCUCUCAAGUGAUACCCCUUACUUGAGAAAAUUCCUCACAAAGAUAUACAAAUAAUGAUCUCUCAAAAUCCUAGUAAUAGAACUUUAGGUUCAAAGAUACAAGAAAAACUAGGAUUGAAUGGUGUACUAAAGAUAUGCAAGUUAUGAAACAAUGGUGCACUCAAAAAACACUCUUCCAAGGCUCAAAUAUAAUCAAGAAUGAUUUGGGAAGGUUAAACUUAUGAAACAAUGAAGAUUGGAGCCUUUUUAUAGAAGAAAAAAGCCAAACUAGCCAUUGGGGGUUCGACCGGUCGAGCUAGGAGUCAACCGGUUGACUAGCCGUUAGGGAAAGUGACUGUUGGGCCUCAACCGGACCUCAAUAGGUUGAGGUUCAACCUUGAUCGGGAAGAGAAGGCCACUGGGAAAGAGAGAAACUUUUUGGCCUCCCUCAACCGGUCCUCGAUCGGACAAGCACAACCGGUUGAACUGGUUGAACCAUUUUUUUGGCUCAACACUCAACCUUUUUCAACUUAAAACCUUUUAACACAAGUUUGAAAAUCAUUUAACACAAGGUUUUAGUUGAAAACAUGAAAUCAUCCAAUUCUUAAGAUAUUUAAAACAAUAUUACUCUUGGAUGAUUUUGGUGCAUAAAUAAAGAAUGAAAUGCAUGAAAGUCCUAGUGCGCCAACAACCUUACAAAGAGAUCCUAAGAAGCUUUGGUCUUGAAAAACUCUUCUCUUUGAGGUGGUCUUCUUCUUCAUGAUUUCUCCUUGGCUUGAUUUGUCUUUGGAUUGCCACUUUGGAAGUCGUCUUGCCUAAUCACACUUCAAAUAUGAUCAUUAGUUCUAAACCUUGUUUUGUUAUCAUCAAAAUCAAGAUUAACCAAACCUUGAUUUCACACUUCCUAUUUUGGUUUUAUUAUUAUAAUUUUUAUUUACUUAAUCUCAUAACUAAAAACUAUGAAGAUAAUUUAUAUUCAUAAUUAUCUUAUAGUAAGACGUUAUGUAGACAAUUUCUAAUUAUCUUGUAUAAACAUAAAUUAUACAAAAAAAAUUAGCAAUUAGCAAUUAGCAAUUCUUUAACAAGAGUUAUAUAGACAAUUUCUAAUUAUAGUGUACAAAUAGAAGGUAUAUAACAAUAAAAAAAAAUUAUUUUUCUAUAAUUAUUAUAAUUUAUUAAUUGUUUUAUAUUACGACAUCACUCAAAUUCUAAUUACUUAUAACUUGAAGUUAAGCAUAAAAAGCUAGUAAAUUAAUAGAUGUGAAAACUCAUAUAGCCAAAAGCUAUAUAAAUUUUUUUAUAUUAUAAACUAAUAUUAUCAUAUAUCGUUACAAGUUAUAUUAUUAUUAUUAUUAUAAGAAAAUUAACAUUCUUUGUACAAUCAAGAGGCUAUGUUUGUAGGAAUGACCUUAAAAGAUCAUUCCAAGCCCAAGAUCAAUAGGGUGUUUACAAAUCUAUCCUAGGGAUCUUUAGAUCUAUGCAACGAAAGUAUAUAUUAAAUAAAAAUUAUAGAUCUAAGUGCUCAGAAUACUAUACCUACGAUCCGGAUGUUCUCAAAUUGAUUUGAAUAAGUGAAAAUAUGAUGUGGAUCUUGGAAACUAUGAGAUCUUUUGCCCAAUAACACUCUUUUUUAGAUCCUAGCAUGUGAGGAUGGUGGAAUCCUCUUUAAUCGGGUGGAGACUAAAGUUCAUCUCUCUGAAAGAUUGAAUAGCAAGACUGCAAACCCUAAAUCCUUGAGGAGGUUUAUAUAGGUUUACCUAUAAGUAUAAGUAACUUAAACACAUUGUUAGGCUUGGAUCACUUAAACUAGCCUAUUAGGUCCUAAUUAAUUAAUUAGUCUUAUUGUGUUCCAAUUGAUUAAUUAUCUUAAUCUAGAGACAUGCACCAUUCAUAAUCUCUUGCAUACUCUUGCAUAUUUACCAAAAUUCCUUAAUUUAUGCACACAAAUGAAUAAAGAACCUAAAUAUAUCUUAAGUAAUAUGUCAUUGAGGAAUAUUACUUCAAGUAAGAAUCAUUGGGACCUAUAGAAAAGUAUUGGCUCCCUUAUGAUGUAAUUUUGAAGUUGACUCAACAUUCCACUAAAAAGAGUUAACUGCAUUCUAGUAUCUUAUAAUAUUAGCUCGAGAUAGAAUACUUGGGUUCAUAACCUUCUAACGAUUGCAUGCAAGCUUCCCAUGAACCAAUGUUUAUAAUUUAACAAGGUGAAUGUUAUCACUCUCUUAAAAUUACUUUUACAGUAUUUUAGUCUCAAAUCCUCUUAUUAUAUAAUCAAUUGACACAUUCUAACUCUUUAAGCACAUAUAUCAAAUUCCAUUUAACUAAUUAUUAUAGUCAUAGAUUCGUACUUCUAACUUUCAUCCAUCCUUUCAACACACUUCUAUGACACUCAUACCAUAGGGCCUCUACUAUCAGUCUACUAUUAAACUUCUUGAGAUGUCUCAUAUCCUACGAUUUAUGGAUCAUUUCAUCAAGACCAACAUAUAUCCUUUUAACCAACAUAAUAAGAGUUCUAAAGCGACUCAACAGGAUUGUACCACGUGUAUAUGAGGCAACUGGUAAAGCCUAACUUGGCUGGUUCUAGAUGUCAUCUAUUAUUUUCUAAGGGAAGUGAAAGAGAAGUUGUUAGCUUUAGCAUGUUUAAAGAUACAACACCAACUCCAUGGUAACCAACUCAAGUGCACUGUAUUCAAGAUCACCGACACAACAGUUACACAGUUGGCAUGACUAUUAGCGCAGUUAGCUAGGUAGUUUUCCCUUGUUAUAACAAACUCUAAUAGUUGUUAAGAACCUACUGCUACUUAAGGAAGUCACCACCUGUAUUGUAAACUUAAAUGAACCAAUAAUGAGAAAUAGCUAAUAUUUUCUUUCAUUCAUUUUCUUUUGCCUUUUAACACAACACGACAAUAUCUCAUUUCAUUAUCUAAAUUGUUCUCUUAGUAUCCAUUGCAUUAAGGCUACCAAUUACCUAAUUUCGAUUGAUGACUUGCACACUAUUGUCUACUCUAUUGAUUACUGAAAUAUUGUAUUAGUUCACUCUGAGUCUUAGCUAGCUACUCUUGGCACUCGUAGGAAUAGGGUUCUGCAUAUUUUUUCCUUUUCAUUUGAUGUCGAAAGCAAUCCUCCUACCCCAAUUGCCCUUAUGCCCACUGCACAUGCAAGUACUUCACCUAUUUUGUCUGCUCCAUCUCAGACUAUCUCUACUACUCCUACCCCUCUAUCAUUAACACCUAUUCACAACAUUCUUAGACUUUCUCAGCCUCAGGUUGAUGAUCAUACUCCAAGUUUACUACAAGUUAUGACCUAUUUGGCCAUGCUUUAAGACCUCUUUAUGAGCAUGGACUCUUGUAUUGAUUUCAAGCUCAGUUGCAUGGAGACCUGCAUGUGGGCGAUUUGACUUUUGUCAUUCAACAACUUAGUUUUUUGGCUAGAGUCCUCAAAUUGAGAGAUGGUUUGGUACCACCAGCUUAUGGAAACCUAGAGGUAGAUGGUGGUACUAUGGUUUGCCUCCAUUUUUUAUACCAAAGUUGAGGGAGCAAUGCCUGUAGCCACACCCAUCCUACAACUCGGGUGCAUUAGGAGUUGCACUGAAAAUCCAAGUCAUGGGUUCCUUCCAAGUUAAAAAAUUGUUCAUAGCUAGUUCAUAGACUUAGAAAACCUAUUUAAGGUUGUAGUGUACAACCUCUUAAUUGGAGGGAUGAUUUGUCUUGGUCAUUAUGAUGAGUUUCUCACGGUAAGUGCAUUGUGUGCAUGGUUAUACAUUGGACGAGGCCUAUAAUGAAUCAUGACAUUUACUAUUAGGGAGUCAUGAUUUACCAAACUACUAUGUUGACCUUGAGAAAAUAUCGAGAUAAUACUGAGAUCUUUAGUGGCUUUGGCUUAUAAGUGAGACCCUAAGGUGGUCAUAUAUUCCCUAUAGAUUGAUCACUAUUGAUUAAAGCAAGUGACAAUAGGCAUUUUCAAAAUAGGCACCAUAAUAUCUUAUGGGAUUAGGACAAUGUGUCCCCUUGGGUGAUUAUAAGUGAAUAUGAAAUCUAUGGCGUUGUAGGAAUCCUUUUAGUGGAAUUUGACAUAUGCUUUAUGUUAGUUAGAGUAUGUCAAGUGAUCAUAUAAUAAGACAAUUUGAAACUCAAUGAUUGUAGAUGAAAUCUUGAGAGGUUGAUAGCAUUUAUCUUGUUAGAUAAUGGACACUAGUCCAUGGAGAGUCUAGAUGCAUGUGAUAGUAUGUCAUGGACCAAAAGAAUGAUUAGAUUGAAUUUGAUCAAUUUUUAUCUUGAUAACAUAGGAUACUGGAGUGAAAUUAACUUUCUUUAAUGGAUUAUUGAGUUACCUUCGGAACUGGAUUAUAAGGGAGUCAAUAUCUUGAUAUAAUAACAUAUGAUACUAGAGUGCAGUUGACUCUUUUUAGUAGAUUAUUAAGCCAACUUUCAAAACUAGAUUAUGAGGAAGCCAAUAUUUUCUUAUGGGUACUAAUGAUCCUUACUCAAACUCACAGUCUUUGUUGACACAAAGGUUUAAGGGAAAUUGGAGAUUUAAUCAUAUGCUUGCAUAAUGACAUUUAGGUAAAAGAACAUGAUUACAUAUGAAGUUAUGAUGAAUGUUUUCAAAAUCGGAUGGGUCAUUAAACCGAAAAAAGUUGUCAAUUGACGGUUCACUGGUCGAACCAAAGAUUGAAUCGCAAUCAAACUAGUAAUGUAAUAAAUAUAUAAUUUAUAUACUAUUAAAAUUAAAAAUAAAUUAUAAAAUUUUAAUCCAUAUAUAUAUAUAUAUAUAUAUAAAAUUAAAAUUUUAAUAAUAUUUCCUUUUUUAUAUUUGAUAUGUCAAAUUAAAUGGUAAUGAUAAAUAUAAAUGUACUAAUAUAAUAAAUUUUAUUAAAUAGAACAUGUAUAAUAUUUAACCAUGAAAAUAUAAUUAAGAUGAAAAGAAAAUUUUAAUAUUUAAUUUUAUCUCUAUCUAUUUUAUUAUUUUAAAAUUUUAGAAAUUAUUGUAUUGCUUUUAUACUUAUCAUUAUAUAGUUGUUAUAAAAAUAAUUGUGAAUAUAAAUAUUUAUAUUUUUAAAUAGACUUAAAUGAUAAAAAUUUGAUAAAAAAAUCAAUAUUUUAUUUUAUUGAAACAUUUAUUAAGUUGGUUGCAUAGCCUAGUGGUCCAAGUAUUGGCCUUUUUAAUCCAAGAUCCUAUGGUUCAAGCUUUCUUAAACAUUAUAAGUAAUCUCACAUUGGAAGUUUACAAAUUAUAUUUCAUGUAUAAAAACCUUGCUUAUUCUUGGAGCUUCAAACAUAUUGUUAGGCUAGAGUAUGUUAUGGGGCUGCAGUCAAAGCUCAUUAGGCCAUAAAUGAAAGGGGUUCACAUUAUGAUUUUGGUCAAAAUAUUAGUAUUGAUUGGUUCAAGGGAAAUGGGACAGUUUGUUUGGUUCGACAAUCAAACCAUCGGUUUGGAUGAUUCAAGACCAAUCUAACAUAGCAAUAAUUCAUUCCAGUCAACUAGACCGAAGAGCUGUUGAUUGACGAUUUGACCAAUUUAAUUAAUUGAUAUGAUUUGACUUUUAAUCAAAGGAGUCAUUGAGCCAAAGAUUGUGAGGUUUUGAGAAAUCUUUUAUAAAAAAGGAUUUGAGUUUGAGAAUAUCCAAACCCAAGAAUGGUUUUUAUUUGUUAUUGGGUCCUCUUAAACAUGCAUCAUGUUGGUAUAAUGACUCAAAUAAAUAUAAAAUAAAAUAAAAAUUUUAUUUUAUAGACUCGAUAAUUUUCACUUGUGAGAGCCGAAACAAUAGAAUAAAUAUAAAAUAAAAAUUAGAAGAUAGUUUAGGUGACCUUUACAUACAUUUUUUGCAAAACUUCUAUAGAAAAAAAUCAUGAUUUAACCCAUGCUCUCCAAAGCUACUAUUAAAAUUUUAAAAUUUUGAAAUAAUUUAUAUAUAUUAAAUUUUUUUUUUAACUUCUAUAAAAGAAAAAAACAUAGAAAUUGACCUUAUGUUCUAAAACAGUAGUGUAGACCCCUUUUGGUGAAGGUCCGGGAGAGGGUUGUUGGCUUUUUAUGCCGAGAAAACAGCCGCAUGGAUAGGUGGCCCAGGGCAUGGCUGGCCAUGCGAGUGGUUGAAGGAGGCCAUGCUGGCUGACCGAGAAACAGGGGAGUGGGUAUAGCUGAGACAUGAGGUUUUCAGAGAAGCAAGGUGGAGAAGGAAAGGGGAAGGCCAGGCUGCAGGCGGAAGGUUGAGAGCUUCAGGGGGUUUUCCAGGAAGCAAAACACCCAGAGAGAGGGCAAAGAGCUCGGAGAAGGAGAAAGGAGAGGUAUGAAUACCAUGGGUCCCUGGAUUUACUUUAUCGAUAUAUAGUCUCAUUUCUUUUUCUCAAUAGUUUAUGUGGAUUGCUUGAUUAUAUGCUCAGUUUCACGGAUCAUGUGUGAGCUAUGGUUUAUUUGUUAAUAUCUCCUUCACUUCUUUGGGUUGCUUUGAGAGUAAUGCAGCUCUGUUCUAACUUUACCAUGCAUCGUGUAGGAGUCUUGUUUUGUUUUCAUUUCUAUGAGAUGCACUCUAGUUUACUCACCUACAGCUAAACUUGUUGAUUAAAACACGAAGCAUGACUUGGGUUGCUUUAUUUAGCUUCGUUAGUUUGUGCUCUGUUUUGUUUCGUCAUUCCCCUGUUCCUGCUUCUGGUACUGGGUUGGCUGCUGUAUGAAGUAGCAAUAUAGCGGAAGAGGAUGGUUUUGACGAGGGGUUUCCUGAGAUGGAGAAUUUUCAGCACAUUAUAGACUCGAAGUCUUGUGAAAGAGUCUGAGAACCGUGAACGCAGAAUUGUCAUUUGAAAGAAACGAUUUACUGUGUCUGAUUGAUAUAUGGGAAGGAAGAAGAGUUUUUAGGUUCUCGUGGACAAAUUCUUAAAGAAGAGUUUGGGAAGAGGCGACUGUGAUUGAGCACACUGAUGUUGCAUUGCUCUGAGACAAUGAGAUCAUCUAUGAUAUCUGCCAUGGUCCGCUGAACAUGAAGAUACCCAUUUAUACCAACCUAAACAUGCUUGGUGCUCAGAUAUUUUUUUUUUAUCAAACUGCAUCUCUCUGUUUCGAUGGAGCCUUCACUGUAGUUUUCUGUGACAGAGAUCACUAGCAGGGCCUUUGAGCCUCUGUCUGUAAUGGCCAAAUGUGACCUACGCCCGGGAGAAUGCGUGUUUGCUGUUUGGUGAAAUAAAAAUGAUGCAGUGAAGUGCAUGCUGCCAAAGCCGCCAUCUCCAUCACUUUUUGCAUGGCCAUGCAUGGCCCACAAGUUUUUUUUUUUACAAAAACCACCCUGCAUACCCAUUAUCCUAUAUACCUUUCUACCUCUUAAUACCCAUUGAAUCUACUCCUCACCAACCUCCAUUACCCAUACUCAUCACCUAACCUAGAUACCCAUAUCUCACCCCCUCAUGCGUUUCCAUUAUCCCCAUUACCCAUACUCAUCACCUAACCUAGAUACCCAUAUCUCACCCCCUUAUGCAUUUCCAUUAUUCCCAUUACCUGGCACGCCCAUAUUCUUCUCAUAAUGCAUCUAAUAAACCCAUUUUUUCUAAUCCCAUUUCUAUUACCUACCUCUCCUAUCAUUUUCCCAUCUUUCUAAUCAUUGAACUCAUAAAUCUCACUUCCCCUCACCACUUUCUAUCACCCUCAAUGGUUCUUACCAUACCCAUAUACCCACCGAACCCUAUGCAUGGCCACCCUCAUUUCUCUCACAUCUCCACUCAUGAUCAUACACAUUUUCUUCAUCAAUUUCAUCCACUACAAGCAACCAAUUCCCUCACCAUGCUCCAUUUCUUUUUAUUCGCAUGCUCAUCUUCAUACUCACUUCUCUCUCUAAACCACCACAUGUCCAUCACCACCUUCUCUCUCUCUCUCUACACCACGUGCCUUUCAAACCUAUUUUUUUCACGCAUUAAACCCAUAUCUUUCAUCUUUGCAUGGCCAUGCAUGGCCACUCCAAACUCCAUACCCGUUUGCCAAUCCUCACGCAUGCAUGGCCACUCCUACCUCCAUACCCGUUUACCAAUCCUUCAUUCUCACCGUUUCCAUCAUUCCCAUGCAAACAGUGCAUCAUGCACAUGGCCACUCAUGUCACGUUCAAUUUCUCUCCACCCUUAUACCCAUCUUAGCGUGCCCACUUCUCUCACUCACCAUCUUUCCAUUCCUUCCAAACUCACAAAACCCUCUCAUCUUGCUACCCUUCAUCCUUCGUUCCAUCAAUAACCACCCGAAGACCAAGAAGAUGCUGCAGUUCCUACGCUUGAGACAAAUAUUUAAUGGCGUCUUUUCGAAAGUGAACAAGACAACAAUGAAUAUGCUGCACGGGUUGUCCCCUACGUGACAUGCGGAUAUCCUAUUUUAAAGAGUGCCUAGGAAUUGAUUUGCAAGCCGGAGUGCAUAUCCGCUACAACGAAGUGUCAUAUCUCUCUCUUGGUGUUCAAGUUGUGAAAGGAGGUACCGAGAACGUUGAGCCUUCUUAGUGAUCCCAUGCGUGAUGGGUGCUCCAUUGUCGGUGAGGGUGGAGCCACAGAAGCACAUUGGUUUCGCUAACACAUGUCCCUUUGGUGGUGGUCGCCCUGGGAGAGUGAAGAGAAAGGACUUGAAGGCGGCUGCCAAGAAGGCUGCUGGUGGAGAUGAUGAUGCCCGGUGGAGAGGAGGGUCGUGAUGGAGAUUGAGGUUUUGGGCUCGCCCAUGAUGACGAAUAUGGGCUUGAGUUGGAGCCCAGGCCCAAGUUUGUUGAUGGAGGGCCUCAUGCCCCUCAUUCCCAUCACCCUUAUGACCCAUACCCAUAUUGAGUCAGCCCAUUUGGCUACUUCAAUUCUAAGUAAUUGUCAAGCUUCUCAUUUUCAUAAUUUAUUUUUUUUUUAAUUUUUUUUAUUUAUUUUGUUUUAUCUUAUUUUACUUUCACAUAUUUUUAACUCAAUUUAAACUCAACUAAAAGACAAAUUAUUAGGAUUGAAUAUCAUUUUCGAAACUUAAAAUAAUUUAUAUUUUAUCUUCUCUUCUUUAGUUAUGUCUAAUCAUCGUAUAUGGAAAUUUUUUUUAUAAUUAGAUUAUGUUGGUCCCAAUGAAUUUUCUAGAUUCCAAAUUUUAAAUCUUAUUUUCAAAACUUAUGUCUUUAAGCAAUUUUUCAAAGGUCCGACUCUCAAAUUUAAUUUACAAUCUCAAAAACCCCACCAUUCACUUUCAUUCGUUUAAAUAUCGUUUUGAUUAAUCAUUAAUGUUAUUCCAUAUUUAUCUAUUUAUCUUUUUUUAAAAUCUCAAUCAUUAAAGUCUAAUUCUUCAAAAAUCCGACUUUCAAAUUUAAUUUUCAAUCUCACAAAUCCCAUUAUUCACUUUCAUCCGUUUAAAUAUCAUUUUUGAUUAAUUAGUAACGUUAUUCCAUAUUUAUCUGUUUAUUUCUUUUAAAAAAAUCUCAAUCAUUGAAGUUCAAUCUUUCAAAGGUCCGACUUGCAAAUUUAAUUUUCGAUCUCAAAAGUCCCAUUAUUCGCUUUCGUUCUUUUAAAUAUCAUUUUUGAUUAAUUAUUAACAUUAUUCCAUAUUUAUCUGUUUAUCGCUUUUAAAAAUCACAAUCGUCAAAGUCCUAUUAUUCAAAAAUCCGACUUCCGAAUUUAAUUUUCAAUCUAAAAAAUCUUACUAUUCACGUUCACUCGUUUAAACAUUAUUUUUGUUGUUAUUAUUGCUAUUCCAUAUUUACUAGUCUAUUUCUUUUAAAAAUUCCCAUCAUCAAAGUUCAAUUCUUCAAAAAUUUGUUUUCCGAAUUUAAUUUUCAAUCUAAAAAAUUUCACUAUUCACGUUCAUUCGUUUAAGUAUUAUUUUUGUCAUUACUUCCAAAUCUAAUUCUCUAUCUCAAAAAUUCCACUAUUCACAUUUACUUGUUUAACGAUUAUUAUUGCUAUUAUUAUUAUUCCAUUCACUUAAUCAUUUACUUAAAAUUCCGCCUUUAAAUAAUUCUUUAAAAUUUCGAUUUCUAAAUUUAGUUCUCUGAAAUUCUAAUUUUCUAAUUUCUGAACUUAAUUUUCAGUUUCCAAUACUCCAAUUCUUGCAUUUAUUCUGUUACUUAUUUAUUAUCAUUAUUAUUAUUAUCAUUUUAUUUAUUUAUUUCUAAAAAUUCUACCUUCGAAUUAUUUCCAAAAUUUUCAAUUUCUAUAAUUCAAUUUUCAUAACUUCUACUUCUCAAAUAAUUUUCAAUCUUGGUUUCCUUCAAAAUUUAAUUUCCAAGGUCCCAAUUUUCGUAACUUAAUUUUUUUUUUUAAAAUCCCGAACUCUUAAAUAAUUUUCAAGAUUCCAAUCUCUUUCAAAUUUAAUUUCUAAAAUUCUCAUUCUUACAUUUAAUUUCUAAAAAUCCAAUUUUCAAAUAAUCUCUAAGACUCCAAUUUUCAAAUAAAUUUCAAAAAUCCAGUUUUCCCUCGAACAGUUUCAAUUUCUAUUUGGUGAUGUAUGUGAUAUGUUUUGUGCUCUUUAUUGUACACUGACCCCAUUUUUAUGAUUGCGCGUUGCUCGUUCGUGGCCCAAUUGCGCAUCCACUCUCUUUGUGGUCAUUCACUAUGCAUGUUUUGGUUCCCAUAUGUGCAUAAUCGAUUUGAGCAUCCCUUGAUUUUCCCAUUGAUUGUCACGUCAACUUCAUUUUAUUAGUAGAGACCCGACUUCAGGGACUUAGAGGAGUACUACGGUCUUUACCAUACCUUCCUGAUAAGUAACCUGACCCCGAUCACGAUCCGGUUUUUCAUAGACCACAUUUUCCAAAAUAAAGAGUCACAUUUAGGGUUUUCUUUCUUAUUUUGUUUACCCUCUUAAAAGUAAAACAAAAAUAAGUGGCGACUCCAAGUCAUUUUCUAAUAAAUAAAAUCAAAUUUUCAAAUAAAAUCGAGUUUGCCAUCGAGUGGAAACGCAUGAGCCGAAAUGCGGGAUCCACAAGUAGUUACCAAAAUUUUUAAAAUUUGAGAUGGUAAAUUUUUUUUCAAUACCUAUAUAUUUUUCUAAACUUUUUUUGAAAAUCAUUGUCUUGUUAAAGUAUGCAUCUUUUAGUGGCUAUUUUCUAUUUUCUAAAAAUAAAAAACAAAAAGGUCUUCGAAUACCACCAUCGAUUUUACAUUCAAUUUUUUAAGUCACUAAUAUUUAUAGAAAUUAUUAAAAUAUUGUUUUUUUUUUCCAAGAACAAGAAUUUAACUUGAGUGCAUUAAUAUUUUCAUUUUGUAAUAACUUUCACAAAUUAUGGAUUCGGAACAACAAAUUAGGAAAAAUUAAAAGAUGUUUUAAGUAUUUUUUGCAAGAUAUUUGAGAAAAAACUUUAAAAUAAAAAAGUAUAUAUAUUACUAAACCAAAGUGUCAAAGAAAGAGAGACUUUCUCAUGAAAAUUGUUUUCUUUACAUAAUUAUCAGAAAAAUAACUAAAUUUUUGUAUUAAAAUUAGGAAACCAAUGUUUAUUUUCUUAGUUUCAAAUGAAUUUGUUUUCUUCUUUUGAGACAUUAAGUGAGAUUACUUGUAUAAGUCCAAUAGUUAUUUAGUAACAAAAAUAAAAAUAAUUUUGUCUUUAGACCAUAGUUUGCAGGACUAUAUAUAUAUAUAUACACAUAGAGGUGAGUUGGGAGUGGUGUAAUUAAAUUUCCAAGGUCAUGUUUUGUUCAGAAGAUUAUUAAAAAAAAAUUGGAAGAAAAUCACAUUUAAUUUUGUUGUGAAAGAAAGAAAUAAAAUAAAAUAUAAUUAAAAUUAUAAAAAUGUGUACAUUUUAAAAUCAUUUGACUUUUAUAAAAACAAAAAACAAAUUAAAAUAAUAUACAAAAAUAAUUUAUUGAUUUUAAACUUAUUUUUUAAUUUUUUUUUUCAUUUUCUCUCUUUUUUCGAUUUUUUUUUCUCUGUUUUCUUUUUCUAACACUUUUCCUCAGAUUUUUAGAAACUAAAUCUAACCUUAAAAAAUAAAAAAUAAAAAAUAAAAUAGUAUAUGCACAGGAUGAGAUUUUACACUGACGUUUCAAGUCAUCAAACCAUAGUCUGCAUUAAACCUAGGCUUAGGGCUGAGUUUAAGCUAAGAGUUAAAUUCCAAGUAUGGGCCAAGCCUAAUGACUUUUCUUAUUUGGGAUAAUUGUUGAGCAUGGAGUGGGCACAUCAACUAUCCCAUCACAAACUAAAUUGUGUCCCACUAAAUUAUUUUAUCGAGGGAAACAUUUAAAAAAUAAAAUUUAUUCAUCCUAAAUGAAACUAUGAACAUGUUUGUAAUUGUAUUGUUUUUUGUUUUAAGUAUUCAUACUUUAUCUAAAAAACUUUUCAAAAAUAUAUAAAAAUAGGAAAAACAAAUCAAUCUCCUGUCAAAAUCUUGGAAUAAAAUUGCUCUUCAAUGACAAAAAAAAUAUCCUAAGGGAAUUUAAAACUAGGCUCAAAAUUAAUGUAAAGAUAAAAUUGGAACAAAUUUUGGGGUCUACACUUAUGUUUAAGAAUAUCUUAGGUAUAAAUGAGUAGAAAUGUGUUUUCUUUUAUCCAUCCUAAAGGGAAUAUACAUGGUCUUGGUAGAUAGAUCAUUGUAAGAAAUAAUCUAAAAAAGAAAAGAAAUUCUUGAGUGAAUCUAACUGAAUAAGUACCCUUUUGUUUGGCCAUGAGGGAAAGGGUGAGAGAGAGCCUUCUAUUUUGUGCAAAAGAGAGAAACAAAGGUUCAAUAUCAUUGACUAGUAAAGCAUUUGUGGAUUCUUUUCUUGUGGAUAUAGGUGAUUUUCAUCAAACCACGAAGCAUCUUGGUGUUGUGAUUGUACUUUAUUUUUUGUUGUAUUUAAGUUCUUGGGCUUAUUUAAUUGAUCUUGUCGAUGUAAAAUCCCCUUAACAAACUGUUAUGAGAGCCUGUAGAUGGAUUUAACAAAGGUUGAUAUUCAAUCAGAAGAAUGAUUUGGCACUAUGGAGAAUGGAGAUGAUAGCAUCACUAGUUAAGAGGCCUUCAAGAAAUUCCUAAGGGUAAACUUACCAAGUUCUUUUAUCCUUUGAGGACAAGACCAAGAUCCCUGAUAAAACACACAAUGUUGUUUUUUUGAGUCUUAGUGAUAAGAUGUUAUGUGAAGUCUUAAAGGAGUCAACUAUAGCUUUGAUAUGGUUGAAAUUGAAGCAUCUGCUCGUGGCAAAAUCUUUGACAAAUAGACUAUACUAAAAGUAGAAAAUGACAUAACAGGUUGAAGACUGUAUUGACAACUUCAAUAAUAUCAAAUUAGAUCUUGAAAAUAGUAAAGUGAAGAUUGAAGAUAAAGACCAAGCAAUAAUCCUCUCAAAUUCAUUGUCUGAGUUAUAUAAGCACUUUGUAGACACCAUGAUCUAUGGUAGAGGGUAUUUAUUUAUGCAAGAAGUAUAGGAUGCCCUAAAUUCUAAGGAGUUGAAGAAGAAAUGUUAUAAGAAUAAAGAAGAUGACUCAGGGGUGAGGGGCACAUAGUGAGAUGGUGAUCUUGUAAGAAACUUUUUUAGGAUAUAUAUAGACCAAGGUCAAGGUUGAAAUAUAAGUACAUAAUGUUUUCUCUAUCAUAAAGAAUGCCAUGUAAAGAAAUAUUAACUAAAAAGAUAACUUCAAGGACCCUAAAGAUAUUGGCACUACAUCAAAGGGGUAUGAAAGCAUUAAGGUAUUAUCCAUUUCAAAAUCUAUUGAAAAUAAUUAAAUGAAUUAUUGAUUUUGGUCACACUUCUCACAUGUUUCCAAAUCAAUCUUGAUUUUCUUCUAUUAAAUGAUUGAUGGGGACUAAGUGUUGCUAGGAAACAAUAAGGCAUGUCACGUGAUUGGAGUAGGAGUUACAAAAAUCAAGAUAGCAGAUUGGGUUGAAAGCAUAUUGUAGGUGUGAGACAUAUACUUGAAUUGAAGAGUAAUCUAAUUUCACUGAGAAUGUUGGACAAAAGUGUAAAAGAGAAGAUGGAGACUUGAAGGUAAUUAAAGGAUCACUAGUAGUGAUGUAAGAUUUCAAAAGAAUAAUUUGUAUAUGCUACAGGUGGAUGUUUUGAAUUAUGAGGGUACUACAACUUCAAGGAAUAUAUAUUCUAGACAAAGUAAAGUUUUUGACACAUUUACUUAUAUAUUAGUGAAAGGAGUGGUCUAAAUUAAGUAAACAAAAUCUUCUUUGGGGAGAUAAUAUGAAUAAGUUGGAAUUUUCGGAAGAUUGCAUUUAUGGUGACAUUUGAAGAAUUAAAUUCAAUAUAGCAAAUCAGAGGACAAAGGAAACUCUCGAUUAUGUUCAUUUAAAUCUUUUGGGCCAACAAGGAUUGAUUCUUUGAGUGAUUAGAUAUACCUUACAUUGAUUGAUGAUUAUCAAAGAAGAGUAUAGGUGUAUAUAAAAUCUAAAUGCAACAACUGUAUAGAGGGCUCUAUAGAAAAGAAAGGAGAACCAUGGAUCCAUGCUUAUCAUAGUAUGGCUUAAAGUAGUUUCCAAGGCAUUGGUACAACAGGUUUGAUAUAUUCCAAUUGAAAUAUAGUUUUAAAAAAACGUGGAUGUGAUAGUUUUUUUGUACUAUAAGAACCUCCUAUCUAAUACUGCCACUUAUUUUCCAUUGUUUUUGUGUAUUAUAAGAAUGCCUUAUAAUGCCACUUAUUUGCUAAUCUAUGAUGACAUGUUCAUAGCAUCUAAUAGACUAAAGUCAUUUUUUUCAAAGUGAGUUAAAGACGAAGGAUCUUGGACUAGCCAAGAGGAUUCUAGGGAUUGAAAU
This 42145-nucleotide long non-coding RNA is filed under the name Vitis vinifera (wine grape). RNAcentral describes it as "long non-coding RNA (VVIN_LNC007503)". Lineage: Eukaryota; Viridiplantae; Streptophyta; Magnoliopsida; Vitales; Vitaceae. The record is from RNAcentral.